This 492-nucleotide ribosomal RNA is filed under the name uncultured bacterium. RNAcentral's name for it is "partial 16S ribosomal RNA". It matches the Rfam family "Bacterial small subunit ribosomal RNA", at positions 29 to 507 of the family's 1533-position model. The record is from RNAcentral.
AGUGAACGCUGGCGGUAGGCCUAACACAUGCAAGUCGAACGGCAGCACAGUAAGAGCUUGCUCUUACGGGUGGCGAGUGGCGGACGGGUGAGGAAUACAUCGGAAUCUACUUUUUCGUGGGGGAUAACGUAGGGAAACUUACGCUAAUACCGCAUACGACCUACGGGUGAAAGCAGGGGAUCUUCGGACCUUGCGCGAUUGAAUGAGCCGAUGUCGGAUUAGCUAGUUGGCGUGGUAAAGGCCCACCAAGGCGACGAUCCGUAGCUGGUCUGAGAGGAUGAUCAGCCACACUGGAACUGAGACACGGUCCAGACUCCUACGGGAGGCAGCAGUGGGGAAUAUUGGACAAUGGGCGCAAGCCUGACCCAGCCAUACCGCGUGGGUGAAGAAGGCCUUCGGGUUGUAAAGCCCUUUUGUUGGGAAAGAAAAGCAGCAGGUUAAUACCCCGCUGUUCUGACGGUACCCAAAGAAUAAGCAACGGCUAACUUCGUG